CUCCUACGGGAGGCAGCAGUGGGGAAUAUUGCACAAUGGGGGAAACCCUGAUGCAGCGACGCCGCGUGGAGGAAGAAGGUCUUCGGAUUGUAAACUCCUGUUGUUGGGGAAGAUAAUGACGGUACCCAACAAGGAAGUGACGGCUAACUACGUGCCAGCAGCCGCGGUAAAACGUAGGUCACAAGCGUUGUCCGGAAUUACUGGGUGUAAAGGGAGCGCAGGCGGGAAGACAAGUUGGAAGUGAAAUCUAUGGGCUCAACCCAUAAACUGCUUUCAAAACUGCUGGCCUUGAGUAGUGCAGAGGUAGGUGGAAUUCCCGGUGUAGCGGUGGAAUGCGUAGAUAUCGGGAGGAACACCAGUGGCGAAGGCGACCUACUGGGCACCAACUGACGCUGAGGCUCGAAAGCAUGGGUAGCAAACAGGAUUAGAUACCCUGGUAGUCCAUGCCGUAAACGAUAUUACUAGGUGUUGGAGGAUUACCC
This 482-nucleotide ribosomal RNA is filed under the name uncultured bacterium. RNAcentral describes it as "bacterial SSU rRNA". It matches the Rfam family "Bacterial small subunit ribosomal RNA", at positions 336 to 838 of the family's 1533-position model. The record is from RNAcentral.